AUUGAACGCUGGCGGCAGGCCUAACACAUGCAAGUCGAGCGGAUGAAGGGAGCUUGCUCCUGGAUUCAGCGGCGGACGGGUGAGUAAUGCCUAGGAAUCUGCCUGGUAGUGGGGGAUAACGUCCGGAAACGGGCGCUAAUACCGCAUACGUCCUGAGGGAGAAAGUGGGGGAUCUUCGGACCUCACGCUAUCAGAUGAGCCUAGGUCGGAUUAGCUAGUUGGUGGGGUAAAGGCCUACCAAGGCGACGAUCCGUAACUGGUCUGAGAGGAUGAUCAGUCACACUGGAACUGAGACACGGUCCAGACUCCUACGGGAGGCAGCAGUGGGGAAUAUUGGACAAUGGGCGAAAGCCUGGUCCAGGCAUGCCGCGUGUGUGAAGAAGGUCUUCGGAUUGUAAAGCACUUUAAGUUGGGAGAAAGGGCAGUAAGUUAAUACCUUGCUGUUUUGACGUUACCAACAGAAUAAGCACCGGCUAACUUCGUG
This 484-nucleotide ribosomal RNA is filed under the name uncultured bacterium. Its description in RNAcentral is "partial 16S ribosomal RNA". It matches the Rfam family "Bacterial small subunit ribosomal RNA", at positions 30 to 507 of the family's 1533-position model. The record is from RNAcentral.